GGUUAAGCGACUAAGCGUACACGGUGGAUGCCCUGGCAGUCAGAGGCGAUGAAGGACGUGCUAAUCUGCGAUAAGCGUCGGUAAGGUGAUAUGAACCGUUAUAACCGGCGAUUUCCGAAUGGGGAAACCCAGUGUGUUUCGACACACUAUCAUUAACUGAAUCCAUAGGUUAAUGAGGCGAACCGGGGGAACUGAAACAUCUAAGUACCCCGAGGAAAAGAAAUCAACCGAGAUUCCCCCAGUAGCGGCGAGCGAACGGGGAGGAGCCCAGAGCCUGAAUCAGUGUGUGUGUUAGUGGAAGCGUCUGGAAAGGCGCGCGAUACAGGGUGACAGCCCCGUACACAAAAAUGCACAUACUGUGAGCUCGAUGAGUAGGGCGGGACACGUGGUAUCCUGUCUGAAUAUGGGGGGACCAUCCUCCAAGGCUAAAUACUCCUGACUGACCGAUAGUGAACCAGUACCGUGAGGGAAAGGCGAAAAGAACCCCGGCGAGGGGAGUGAAAAAGAACCUGAAACCGUGUACGUACAAGCAGUGGGAGCCUCUUUUAUGGGGUGACUGCGUACCUUUUGUAUAAUGGGUCAGCGACUUAUAUUCUGUAGCAAGGUUAACCGAAUAGGGGAGCCGAAGGGAAACCGAGUCUUAACUGGGCGUUAAGUUGCAGGGUAUAGACCCGAAACCCGGUGAUCUAGCCAUGGGCAGGUUGAAGGUUGGGUAACACUAACUGGAGGACCGAACCGACUAAUGUUGAAAAAUUAGCGGAUGACUUGUGGCUGGGGGUGAAAGGCCAAUCAAACCGGGAGAUAGCUGGUUCUCCCCGAAAGCUAUUUAGGUAGCGCCUCGUGAAUUCAUCUCCGGGGGUAGAGCACUGUUUCGGCAAGGGGGUCAUCCCGACUUACCAACCCGAUGCAAACUGCGAAUACCGGAGAAUGUUAUCACGGGAGACACACGGCGGGUGCUAACGUCCGUCGUGAAGAGGGAAACAACCCAGACCGCCAGCUAAGGUCCCAAAGUCAUGGUUAAGUGGGAAACGAUGUGGGAAGGCCCAGACAGCCAGGAUGUUGGCUUAGAAGCAGCCAUCAUUUAAAGAAAGCGUAAUAGCUCACUGGUCGAGUCGGCCUGCGCGGAAGAUGUAACGGGGCUAAACCAUGCACCGAAGCUGCGGCAGCGACACUAUGUGUUGUUGGGUAGGGGAGCGUUCUGUAAGCCUGUGAAGGUGUACUGUGAGGUAUGCUGGAGGUAUCAGAAGUGCGAAUGCUGACAUAAGUAACGAUAAAGCGGGUGAAAAGCCCGCUCGCCGGAAGACCAAGGGUUCCUGUCCAACGUUAAUCGGGGCAGGGUGAGUCGACCCCUAAGGCGAGGCCGAAAGGCGUAGUCGAUGGGAAACAGGUUAAUAUUCCUGUACUUGGUGUUACUGCGAAGGGGGGACGGAGAAGGCUAUGUUGGCCGGGCGACGGUUGUCCCGGUUUAAGCGUGUAGGCUGGUUUUCCAGGCAAAUCCGGAAAAUCAAGGCUGAGGCGUGAUGACGAGGCACUACGGUGCUGAAGCAACAAAUGCCCUGCUUCCAGGAAAAGCCUCUAAGCAUCAGGUAACAUCAAAUCGUACCCCAAACCGACACAGGUGGUCAGGUAGAGAAUACCAAGGCGCUUGAGAGAACUCGGGUGAAGGAACUAGGCAAAAUGGUGCCGUAACUUCGGGAGAAGGCACGCUGAUAUGUAGGUGAAGUCCCUCGCGGAUGGAGCUGAAAUCAGUCGAAGAUACCAGCUGGCUGCAACUGUUUAUUAAAAACACAGCACUGUGCAAACACGAAAGUGGACGUAUACGGUGUGACGCCUGCCCGGUGCCGGAAGGUUAAUUGAUGGGGUCAGCGCAAGCGAAGCUCUUGAUCGAAGCCCCGGUAAACGGCGGCCGUAACUAUAACGGUCCUAAGGUAGCGAAAUUCCUUGUCGGGUAAGUUCCGACCUGCACGAAUGGCGUAAUGAUGGCCAGGCUGUCUCCACCCGAGACUCAGUGAAAUUGAACUCGCUGUGAAGAUGCAGUGUACCCGCGGCAAGACGGAAAGACCCCGUGAACCUUUACUAUAGCUUGACACUGAACAUUGAGCCUUGAUGUGUAGGAUAGGUGGGAGGCUUAGAAGUGUGGACGCCAGUCUGCAUGGAGCCGACCUUGAAAUACCACCCUUUAAUGUUUGAUGUUCUAACGUUGACCCGUGAUCCGGGUUGCGGACAGUGUCUGGUGGGUAGUUUGACUGGGGCGGUCUCCUCCUAAAGAGUAACGGAGGAGCACGAAGGUUGGCUAAUCCUGGUCGGACAUCAGGAGGUUAGUGCAAUGGCAUAAGCCAGCUUGACUGCGAGCGUGACGGCGCGAGCAGGUGCGAAAGCAGGUCAUAGUGAUCCGGUGGUUCUGAAUGGAAGGGCCAUCGCUCAACGGAUAAAAGGUACUCCGGGGAUAACAGGCUGAUACCGCCCAAGAGUUCAUAUCGACGGCGGUGUUUGGCACCUCGAUGUCGGCUCAUCACAUCCUGGGGCUGAAGUAGGUCCCAAGGGUAUGGCUGUUCGCCAUUUAAAGUGGUACGCGAGCUGGGUUUAGAACGUCGUGAGACAGUUCGGUCCCUAUCUGCCGUGGGCGCUGGAGAACUGAGGGGGGGCUGCUCCUAGUACGAGAGGACCGGAGUGGACGCAUCACUGGUGUUCGGGUUGUCAUGCCAAUGGCACUGCCCGGUAGCUAAAUGCGGAAGAGAUAAGUGCUGAAAGCAUCUAAGCACGAAACUUGCCCCGAGAUGAGUUCUCCCUGACCCUUUAAGGGUCCUGAAGGAACGUUGAAGACGACGACGUUGAUAGGCCGGGUGUGUAAGCGCAGCGAUGCGUUGAGCUAACCGGUACUAAUGAACCGUGAGGCUUAACCUU
RNAcentral lists this ribosomal RNA (2904 nucleotides) under Escherichia coli. RNAcentral describes it as "23S ribosomal RNA". It matches the Rfam family "Bacterial large subunit ribosomal RNA". Lineage: Bacteria; Pseudomonadati; Pseudomonadota; Gammaproteobacteria; Enterobacterales; Enterobacteriaceae. The record is from RNAcentral.